GACGAACGCUGGCGGCGUGCUUAACACAUGCAAGUCGAACGAAGAGCGAUGGAAGCUUGCUUCUAUCAAUCUUAGUGGCGAACGGGUGAGUAACGCGUAAUCAACCUGCCCUUCAGAGGGGGACAACAGUUGGAAACGACUGCUAAUACCGCAUACGAUCUAACCUCGGCAUCGAGGAUAGAUGAAAGGUGGCCUCUACAUGUAAGCUAUCACUGAAGGAGGGGAUUGCGUCUGAUUAGCUAGUUGGAGGGGUAACGGCCCACCAAGGCGAUGAUCAGUAGCCGGUCUGAGAGGAUGAACGGCCACAUUGGGACUGAGACACGGCCCAGACUCCUACGGGAGGCAGCAGUGGGGAAUCUUCCGCAAUGGACGAAAGUCUGACGGAGCAACGCCGCGUGAGUGAUGACGGCCUUCGGGUUGUAAAGCUCUGUUAAUCGGGACGAAAGGCCUUCUUGCGAA
This 459-nucleotide ribosomal RNA is filed under the name Veillonella parvula. RNAcentral describes it as "bacterial SSU rRNA". It matches the Rfam family "Bacterial small subunit ribosomal RNA", at positions 28 to 464 of the family's 1533-position model. The record is from RNAcentral. Lineage: Bacteria; Bacillati; Bacillota; Negativicutes; Veillonellales; Veillonellaceae.